Molecule: ribosomal RNA, 397 nt
Filed under: Amphipoda sp. BOLD:ADL0908
Lineage: Eukaryota; Metazoa; Arthropoda; Malacostraca; Amphipoda
Description: partial 16S ribosomal RNA
Rfam family: Bacterial large subunit ribosomal RNA (bases 265-397)
Source: RNAcentral
GUAUGAACGGUUAAACAAAAGAUUCCUUUGAUUAUUGUUAUCUAUUAAUUUGUAUUUUAGGUUAAAAUACUUAAAUAAACCAAGGGGACGAUAAGACCCUAAAAGCUUUAAUUAGAGCUUUAAACUAGCUGUUUGAUAAAGGGAGUUUAAAGACCAUAUUAUUGACUGGGGAAGUUAAUUUGGUAUUUUCGAGAGUAGUGUUAAAUUUUUAUACGCAGUUUAGAGAUCCUUCAAAUGAGGGGGGUUAGACGAAGUUACUUUAGGGAUAACAGCACAAUAGUUUUGAAGAGACCAUAUCGAUAAAUUUGAUUGUGACCUCGAUGUUGAAUUAAAAAUUCUUUGUUCAGUAGAAAGUACAAGAGAGGGUUUGUUCAACCCUUAAAUUUUUACAUGAUUU